AUGGGUGGUGCUAGGUCAGCACUCAGGAUCUGAACCUGCGAACCCUGGGCCACCGGAGCGCACAAACUUAACCACUACACCACUGGGCUGGCUCCUCCAUUCCUUCUGCUAAGUCUUUGGUGAAGUCUUCCCAUCUGAGGGCUUCAUCAGUUCUGGGAAAUCCCUUUGAGAAUUGCUUUGAGAAGUGUCUUUUCUCCAGUAUCCUCUCUCCUUCUGGAACUCCUAUUUGAUGGAUGUUUGAACUUAGGGACCUGUCUUUUAAUUUUCCUUUGAAAUAUUUUAUGUCUUUGUGUUUGGGGCAUAUAUUUUGAAAGAAUUCCCUGGCUUCAUCUUCCAGUUCGCUGAUCUCAUCUUUACCUGCAUUCACACAGCUGGAAUUUAUUAUAAGGAAUUGGUUCGCACAGUUAUGGAGACUGGAAAGUCCAAAAUCUGCAAUGUGGGCCUGCAGUCCAGAGACCCAGAGGAGCUGAUGUUGCAGUUUGAGUCUGAAGGCUGUCUGCUAGAGAAGGCUCUCUUGCCUGGAGGAGGGAAGUCUUUCUAUUCAGACCUUCAACUGAUGGGUCGAGGCCCAUUCACAUUAUGGAGAGCAGCCUGCGUUACUCAAAGUCCACCCAUUUAAAUGUUAAUCACAUCCAAACACCCAGAAUACUGUUCUUGUUGAUUGUUAUGACCUUUAUAUAUAAUCCGGAUAGUAAUCUCUCCUCUGUUUUAGAGGUUGCAAGUAUUUUCUCCCAGUCUGUCAUUUGCUUUUUAGCUUGGCUUACGGAGUCUUCAGGAAUGCAGACAUUUUCAUUGUUUAUGGAGUUAAGUUUGCUUGAGUUUCAUUUCAUAAUGUUUGUGUUUUCCUGAGGAAAACCUUCCAACCACUAAAUUAUUAAAAAACAUUCUCCUCCUGUCCCCCUACUGUUUCUACAUUUGGCUCUUGAAGGCAGUGAAGAUAGAGGACAGGAGGCUGGAGGCUCACAGGGACUGGUGGAGUUUGCAUCCUGACGCUGUCUCACGCUGCGUGAGUGACCUCAAACUCUUGUGUCUCAGCUCAUCCGAAAAACGGGAACAAUGCUUAUCUGGACUGUUAAAGCCCUGUGGAAAUAUUAUUAUUACAAAAAAUCAACUGGCAAAACAAUAUAAAUGUGACAGUAUUUCAAUAGCCUUUGAAAGCAAAAUUUUGUUUCUGAUAAUAGGCCUUUCCAAGAACAUUUAUUAUCUUAUUCAUUUCUAUAUUCUGUGGACGCUUAGAAUCUUUCCAGAUUUUUAAAUUAUGAGUGUGCUGAAAUAAAAAUUGUUUUAUA
Molecule: long non-coding RNA, 1289 nt
Filed under: Equus asinus (donkey)
Lineage: Eukaryota; Metazoa; Chordata; Mammalia; Perissodactyla; Equidae
Description: lncRNA (ENSEASG00005036324.1)
Source: RNAcentral